Non-coding RNA from Paramisgurnus dabryanus, 1066 nucleotides. Lineage: Eukaryota; Metazoa; Chordata; Actinopteri; Cypriniformes; Cobitidae. The record is from RefSeq and is a predicted model, not a curated record.
GUGGGUGAGUACUAACUUAUUAUUGUGUAGUUUCAUAAAAGCCUUACUCUUUUCAGUCACAUAACUUUUGUUCAUCUGCUAAUAAUAGGACUAUCCAUACACAAAGAUGUAUUGUGGAUUUAAGUAAUAUCUGCGAAUAUUUAUGUGAAAAUGUAUUAGUGUUCUGCUGACAUGAGAUCUGAAAAUGUGUUCUAGGACCUGAUAUGGAUUAAUCCAAUGAUCAACGUUUUCCUUUGUAUCCCUGUUUUGUAUACGCUGCCAUUACAUGAUGGUCAUAUGUCCCGGAUGAUCGGGAGAAGUCACGUGGUUCAAUUAUUAUUAUUUUUUUACGUGGUUCAAUUAUCUGUUAAUAAAAAUUUUUUACCAUGCAUUUAGCAUCAGGCAAAGCCUGCAAUCAAUCUAUUAAGACAGAAACAAUAUCUUACUUAUUAUUAUGUUGUUAUGACAAUAUCAUGUGAUCAUCUGAGUUAGAACAAAAUCUAUUCAUUUUCAGGUAUAACUGUGCAAGUGCCCUGAAUCAUUCUGUUGAAAUGUUAUGUGUUUAAGAUUCUUUAUGACAUCAAGAUGUGGUUUGGGAAGGACCUUCAUCUAAAUCUGAAGAUAGGACAUACUGGCUCAAAAAGGUGUUUCUGAUAUGGAGAAAAACCCUGCACUGCUCAUUUUAUUUCUUCAUCUUGAGAAUACAGCAAGUUUACCUUUUGUCUGGAAAAUGAUUCAGCAAAGCUAACACCAACAACAAUUUUUCAUGGCACUUUAAACCACCUUGAUGUGAGGAGCCAGCAUCAGAAUGGAUGGUGUCAAUAUCCUGAAAGUGGAGGUAACAGAGGUGGAUCUCGAGACUUGGCCAUGUUCUAGAUUAUAACUGGAUUAUCACAAGUGCUGUCGCCCCUGCUGUAUAUGACGCCCCCACCACCUACACCAGGACCGACGUUGCCUACUACUGACCUACACCUUCAUCCUGCCACCACCACCCAUACUACCUACAAAAAACUGUAUUGUAAUUAUGCUUUUCACUGUAUUGUAUGAUGUGGUUUUCUCAUUUAGGGUAACUACACUAUGGCAACAA